UGGGGAGUAUUGGACAAUGGGGGAAACCCUGAUCCAGCCAUGCCGCGUGAGUGAUGAAGGCCUUCGGGUUGUAAAGCUCUUUUAGCGGGGAAGAUAAUGACGGUACCCGCAGAAUAAGCCCCGGCUAACUUCGUGCCAGCAGCCGCGGUAAGACGAAGGGGGCUAGCGUUGUUCGGAAUUACUGGGCGUAAAGGGCGCGCAGGCGGCUCUACAAGUCAGGCGUUAAAGACCCAGGCUCAACCUGGGGAAUGCGCUUGAUACUGUAGGGCUUGAGAUCGGAAGAGGAGAGUGGAAUUCCCAGUGUAGAGGUGAAAUUCGUAGAUAUUGGGAAGAACACCAGUGGCGAAGGCGGCUCUCUGGUCCGAUUCUGACGCUGAGGCGCGAAAGCGUGGGGAGCAAA
Molecule: ribosomal RNA, 400 nt
Filed under: uncultured bacterium
Lineage: Bacteria
Description: bacterial SSU rRNA
Rfam family: Bacterial small subunit ribosomal RNA
Source: RNAcentral